RNAcentral lists this ribosomal RNA (443 nucleotides) under Festuca rubra. RNAcentral's name for it is "eukaryotic LSU rRNA". The stretch from base 303 to 443 matches the Rfam family "Eukaryotic large subunit ribosomal RNA", at positions 1 to 141 of the family's 3401-position model. The record is from RNAcentral. Lineage: Eukaryota; Viridiplantae; Streptophyta; Magnoliopsida; Poales; Poaceae.
UGCAGAAUCCCGCGAACCAUCGAGUCUUUGAACGCAAGUUGCGCCCGAGGCCUUCUGGCCGAGGGCACGCCUGCCUGGGCGUCACGCCAAACACGCUCCCACCCCACUAAACAUGGGGCGGGAUGCGGCAUGUGGCUCCCCGUCUCGCAAGGGGCGGUGUGCCGAAGAUCUGGCUGCCGGUGUAUCGUGCCGGACACAGCGCGUGGUAGGCGAUCUCGCUAUACUAAACGCAGUGCAUCCGGGGCGUAGCCNACGCAAUGCCCUCAUGGACCCUAUAAACGGAGCGCACGACGCUUCUACCGCGACCCCAGGUCAGGCGGGACUACCCGCUGAAUUUAAGCAUAUAAAUAAGCGGAGGAGAAGAAACUUACAAGGAUUCCCCUAGUAACGGCGAGCGAACCGGGAACAGCCCAGCUUGAGAAUCGGGCGGCUGUGCCGUCUGA